Molecule: ribosomal RNA, 497 nt
Filed under: uncultured bacterium
Lineage: Bacteria
Description: partial 16S ribosomal RNA
Rfam family: Bacterial small subunit ribosomal RNA
Source: RNAcentral
GAUGAACGCUGGCGGCGUGCCUAAUACAUGCAAGUCGAGCGAACAGACGAGGAGCUUGCUCCUCUGACGUUAGCGGCGGACGGGUGAGUAACACGUGGAUAACCUACCUAUAAGACUGGGAUAACUUCGGGAAACCGGAGCUAAUACCGGAUAAUAUAUUGAACCGCAUGGUUCAAUAGAGAAAGACGGUUUUGCUGUCACUUAUAGAUGGAUCCGCGCCGCAUUAGCUAGUUGGUAAGGUAACGGCUUACCAAGGCGACGAUGCGUAGCCGACCUGAGAGGGUGAUCGGCCACACUGGAACUGAGACACGGUCCAGACUCCUACGGGAGGCAGCAGUAGGGAAUCUUCCGCAAUGGGCGAAAGCCUGACGGAGCAACGCCGCGUGAGUGAUGAAGGUCUUCGGAUCGUAAAACUCUGUUAUUAGGGAAGAACAAAUGUGUAAGUAACUAUGCACGUCUUGACGGUACCUAAUCAGAAAGCCACGGCUAACUACGUG